GACGAACGCUGGCGGCGUGCUUAACACAUGCAAGUCGAACGGAAAGGCCCUGCUUUUGUGGGGUGCUCGAGUGGCGAACGGGUGAGUAACACGUGAGUAACCUGCCCUUGACUUUGGGAUAACUUCAGGAAACUGGGGCUAAUACCGGAUAGGAGCUCCUGCUGCAUGGUGGGGGUUGGAAAGUUUCGGCGGUUGGGGAUGGACUCGCGGCUUAUCAGCUUGUUGGUGGGGUAGUGGCUUACCAAGGCUUUGACGGGUAGCCGGCCUGAGAGGGUGACCGGCCACAUUGGGACUGAGAUACGGCCCAGACUCCUACGGGAGGCAGCAGUGGAGAAUAUUGCACAAUGGGCGGAAGCCUGAUGCAGCAACGCCGCGUGCGGGAUGACGGCCUUCGAGUUGUAAACCGCUUUCGCCUGUGACGAAGCGUGAGUGACGGUAAUGGGUAAAGAAGCACCGGCUAACUACGUG
This 468-nucleotide ribosomal RNA is filed under the name uncultured bacterium. RNAcentral describes it as "partial 16S ribosomal RNA". It matches the Rfam family "Bacterial small subunit ribosomal RNA", at positions 28 to 507 of the family's 1533-position model. The record is from RNAcentral.